Medicago truncatula (barrel medic) is the source of this 371-nucleotide long non-coding RNA. RefSeq lists it as uncharacterized. The record is from RefSeq and is a predicted model, not a curated record. NCBI's taxonomy places the organism in Eukaryota, Viridiplantae, Streptophyta, Magnoliopsida, Fabales, Fabaceae. The transcript has 2 exons.
GUUACAUUCAUAAGAGAAAUAAAAUAUGUCUCAAAUUCUUAAAUUUUUUUUUGCUACGGUUCUAAUUUUUGCUCUAUUUCUUAGUGCAACUAACGGUCAAAAAUUUAAUGAGUGUUAUGAAGAUACUGAUUGUCCAAUACAAAUGUGUGGCUAUCCUUUUAAUGUGGACUGUGUUGGGAACAAGUGUACAUGUGUUUAUAAUCCAUAAUGAUUUUACCACACUAGACCGGAUUAGAUCCCUUAUUUAAAAAAUUCUACGAGUUGUCUUUAAUACUCCCUCUGUCCCAAAUUGUAUGUCACUUUAGAAAAAAUAUUUGUCCUAAAUUGUAUGUCGCUUUACAAUACCAAUGAAAAAUUAAUGUUACUUUUCC